Molecule: long non-coding RNA, 6931 nt
Filed under: Homo sapiens (human)
Lineage: Eukaryota; Metazoa; Chordata; Mammalia; Primates; Hominidae
Description: HSALNT0199115
Source: RNAcentral
GGAUGAGUCAUUAGCUGAAUUAUAUAUUGGGGGAAUCAAGAAUAGAACUAUAAGCAGACAUUUUAAAGUAAAGAGAUAAAUGCUAGAAGAAACAGCUAAAAGUUUAUUAAAAAUGGUUUAACAUAUAUUGUUAUGUUCUCUUCACUUAGAAAAAUUAUUAGGGAAGACACUAAAUGAGUCUUUCGACUUUGAAGAAAAGCAAGUGGACUUGAAUUCCAUGGGUGUAAGCUCCAGAAGAUGGGAAUUUUGUUCACCUCAUUCAAAGUAUCCUGCAUUUGGCAUAUAGUAGUCAUCAUUUUUGUGGAUAAAUGAAUAGCUAUACCCAUGUGAAUAAACUAUAUCUUAGCAAUUCAUCCGUAAGUAUGGACAUAUGUGUACCCUGCUAAUCAUAUUUAAUGUUAUUACAGGCUAUGUGACUUUGGCAAGUUAUUUUAUCUCUGUGGCUCAGUUUUGUAACUCUAAAAUGGGACUAAUAAUGGUAUCUAAUUUAUAGAGUUAUUGGGAGAAUUAAAAAAAUUAAUUCACAUCAAGCAGUUUGAAAGGGCCCGAUACAUGGUUUAAUUACUCCAUAAACUUUAGUUUGUGUUUAUUAUUAAAGUAUGGCUUUUUUGUUUAUUCAUUUUUUUAAUAAAGAAAAUUUCAAACAUUUAUAAUAGAAUAGUAAUAUAAUGAAUCCCCAUGUAUCAUCACCCAGUUUCAAUAAUUAUUAACAUAUGGCUGAUUAUUUUUGUCCUCUAUCCCCACUUUUUUAAAAAGGAAAAUUUAGAGAUUAUAACCUGAAAUUAUUUGAGGCAUCCUAGGUAUUUGCAAACUAAGGCUAGGAAUCACUGUUGUGAUCAUAUAUAAAACAAGUAUUUUUAUUCAGAAGAUAAAUCAUCUUAUUUGAAUUUGAUUAUGAAUAGGAUCCAGACAACCACUGGCUUCUAGUGCUGUCACAAGUAGGACAUUUAUGCCAGUGUAACAAAGAACAGGUGGGCAAUCCCACCCUCCAUCCCCCAAUUCAUACCCCAGGGCUGGUCCAAAAAGAAACUGGAUCAUCCAGGGCUACACAGAAAGAUCAGAAUGGGCAGCUGUAAGCUAAAAGAGACUGUUGAUUAGCACCUCUUCUCUAAUAUAGCUCAUAACUGUAAUAAAGGUCGUGGUUGCCCACCCUCUGGGAUCUCCCAAUAGUAGCUAUAUCUUACGGAGAAGUCCUUCUGUUGUGACAGUAGUCCACACAAUGGGUUUCUCUUAAGCCAAAUUCAUCUCAAAUCGAUACUCAAGGAUUCUCUGGAGCGUUAAGAUACUGGAGUGUAAGCAUGGGGGUCUCCACACAAAUGCUUUCCAGAAUGGGUAUUUUGGCCAGAGUACAUGACUGGAUUGCACCUGAGGCUUACUCAUGAUGGCUUUCACACUCUCUAGAGCAGCACUAUCCAACAGAACUCCAAGAUGAGGGAAAUAUUCUAUGUCUGUGCUGUCCAAUUAUAUUAGCCAGUAAUUACAUGUGGCUGCUGAGCUCUUGAAAUGUGACUAGUGUAAUUGAAGAAGUAAGCUUUAAAUUUCAAUUAAUAUCAAUGUAAAAGGUCACAUGUAGCUAGUGGAUACCAACAAACUUCUACUGGGUGCCCUUUAACCAAAUGUUUAAAACAUCAAUAACUAAUUUAAACACACUGGUUUAUCAAUUUAUCUAAGAAAUAUUUACUUUGCAAUAAAAAUAAAGACAUAAAGUUUCUGUUUUGCUUGAUUUUAAAUAGUGGGAACCAAAACAAUCACUUAAAACAAAAAAAGCUCUGUCUUAUCGCAAAUAAUCAUUCUGUACAAUUUAUCAUAUAUUAAAACUUACAAAAUCAGAUUCUUCAGGUCAGAGGAAUAGUUGAUUGUCACCAGUUCCAUGGCUUUCUGUAAAUUCUCUCGCUGAAUUCCUGCCAAAGAGUUGCAAGCCAAAGCCAACACAACUUUUCCUAAUGAUAUCAGAUCUGCUUGCUGACAUGAAAGAAUAAAUAUAACUUUUAAUUUUCAUUUCACAGGUACUCAUUUAAUACACUGACACUACUGCCUAAAUGGAAAAAGCAUCAUUAUAAAUAAGCUGCAGGCAGGGUCCUCAAAUACUGGUGAUUCUCAGAAUAACCUGGAGCUUAUUAAAAAGACGACUUCGAGCCUCUCUACCAGAGAUUCUCAUUGGGUGGGUCCAGAAAAUGGCUCAACAUUUUUAAAGCACCCAGGUAAUUCUGAUGAAGGUAGUUCUAGGUCCACGCCUUAAGAGACUUUAAGCAAUUCCCAUGCCAACUACAAAUUGCCACUUUUAAAAAGUUUUUCUAAUUUUUUCUUAUUUAAAUAGAGGUAAUAUUCUUCUCUAUUACAACAAAUUUAAGGUUACUAUACAUUUGCUUUGCUAUGACCACUAUAACUUAACAUACAUACUUUGCUCAUUUUCUGUAACUCCCAGAAUAUAGUGGGAAUGUGAAGGAUUAUCUGAAGAAAAGUUAUCCUAUUACAAACAUUAGCAUUAACCAGAUUUUAGAGCAAAUUCUCUAGAACAUCAAAAAUGCUGCAAACCUCAAUGAAUGACAUCCCAUCUAUCUUUGUUUCCAAAUAGACUAUUUUUCCUCACACUCUAACAGAUCUUUGAGCUCUGGAACCACCACCUGCUUUCCUAAAACCUCUCCCACUCAAGAUUUACCAUUCUGAGGCUUUCCUUCUAAAAGGAUUUUCAAAAGACAGCUGGCUGAAUUAAGUCCUUUAUCACCUAUUAUAACUCCAGGAAACAGUAUGGUCAUCCCAAGUGGCCCUGAUUGGUAGGAAGCUAUUAACAACCACAUGCCUUCAAGAAUGGAGUACUUCAGAGUUAACAUGAAACCACCUGAAGCAAUUUCUACAACAGACAUUUGCAGAUCUUUAAAAUCUGAGAACUCAUCUAAAUUAUUAGACACACGUUCAUUUACUGAACAUUCGUUUAUUAUAAGGAAUUUUCAAGCAUAGCUGUAUAUUACCAUCACUUGAGAAGCUUAAAAACAAAACCAAAAUCAGCAGUAGCCAUCCCCUCGUCCCAAUUUUGGUAUAAUUAGUCUGGGAUAAAAAUCUAGGUAUUGGUAUUUUUCUAAGCUUCCACAAAUGAUGGUAAUAUGCAGCCAGGAUUGAGAACCACUGGUUUGUUGGAAUAUUUGUAACUUUAAGGCAAUCAUUAGUGAAAUUCUAGCAUUAUAUGGUUAUACUUAACAACAGCCUACCCAAAUAAUGAGUAAAAAGACGUUAAACUCCAUUACUAAAAUAACAUUUAAAAGUUCAUACUAAAAAAUUUAUCCAAAACUAGCAUUUGUGAAUCUGACACUGAACAUGAGAUAAGGAGACAGACUGAUUAGGUAGACAAACUACUUUGAAUCUAUUAGAAAAGAUUCAAAGAUUCAUCCCAGAAAACUUUUAAAACUUCACUGGUGAUAGAGUCAGGAGCCCAGAAUGGCAGGAGGGAAGCUGGCAUGGGAAGGAGAACUAUUACUGUUGCCAUCAUUUCUGUUUGCUGGAGGACACUGUGAUGAACUCCAAAAAGAAUUCCUCUCAAUCACACUUUAGAUCAAGUAAAACAUUCCAAGUUAUAUUCAUGAAAUUACAGAAAUCUCAGCCAAAAGAAAUCAGUGCAUAUAAAUGCCAACUAUAAAUUUCUAUGGGCGAUUCAAUCCAAAGUAUCCAGCAAAGCAUACCAAAGAUUGUUGUUAUUUAUCACGUGUUUGAGCAGCAGGUACCAACACACAGUCUUCCAACUCUUCAAGCAGCAGAAUUUUCAGUUUGGUUCCACCCUGAACUGAUGCUGUAUUAAGCCUCCCUCCCAGAAUAUUCCAUUAUUCUCUAUUAUGAGACAGAAAACCAAAAUGGUCCAAGAGAGCUGAAGAACCAGAUGGGUUUAAAAAAUAACAUCUGAUUUUUAGUACAUCCCAUCACCUCUCUAAAGCGGACUCAAGGUAAGAACAUCCACUUUUUGAAAUAAAGUACAUGUAUGACACAGUCCAGAUUAAAUUAGAGUUGUUUUUUUAAACAAAAGAAGUUAAUAAAAUCUUAAGAGAGUUUCACACCGUAAAACCCAGUAACUCUCCUUUCCUUAUUUCUCAGCUAAAUAAUUUUCCAUUUGUUAUUUUGCUUCUUACCUCCAUCUGGUUUCCCCCCAUUUGUUGAAUUCAGGAGAUUUGCCCCCCAACUGAUUUUCAGUUUCUUCCUGAUUCUUGACUUCUUGAUUUCUUUUUCUGAUUCUAUCUAUGGCUCUACUUAUGUCCAUUUUACUCAAAGUCAGUCUCUAUUCACGUGUCUGAAACAAACUAUGAAAAAUAGACUACAAGAAACAAUGCACUCCUCAUGUAUCCUCUUCUCUGUAAAAUCACACUCCCCCUUUGGGACUAUCUUUAAUUCUUUCCUAUACCUUACUAUAAUAAGCAAUAUAAAAAAUCAGCUACACAUAUAUACCCAAAAAAAGAAAGCCUGAUAUAUAUCCUUUAAUGCUGAAAAAAAUAAACAGGUGAUAAUUAAUUGAAGGUUGCCUGAUUUUAUGAAUGAAGGCAUAUCCUGACUUACAAAUAUUAAUAAGGUGCCCUAAAUGCUUAAAGUUGGUUGUCUGAACUCAGGGAUUUUUUUCUUAUGAAAAGUUUUGUUUUUCAAGGUAACUACACGACUCAUAACAUACUUGAAAAGGAACCCUACUGAGAAAAGAAUGAGGAGCGUGUGCAGUUUUUUUUUUUUUUAAUGCAGACACGGGUUUCUAGAUACUUACAUUAGAAGAUGAUGGUACUGGCUCUAAAAAUGUGUAAUUUUCCUUCAAAAAUUUAAUAUUAUCUGCUUGGAUGUAUAUCCAAGUGUAUAUAUUCACUAAUAUUUUAACAGUCAAUAAUCUGUCACUUUUGGAAGCAUAAAGGUCAUAAAGAAAAAUUAAUCGGAGCCAACUACCUAGGCACUAAGUAUAAGAGAGAAGAUAAGAAUGAAAGUAGCUAAGAAACAAUGUCUCCAGAUAAGAAAGAGGGGGCAAAUGCCCUCAGGCAGAAGAACAGAAUGAUGCUGCUGGGGGAAAAACAGAACUAAUCAUAUUCCUCCCUGUGUUGCCCACUAGAUGUUGCUAUCAACCAGAACAGCUUGGCUGCUGCUGAGGUUAGGUGGGCACAAGCAGAGGGAAAGAAGGGUGUGAAACGUCUGCAAACAACUGAAUGCAAUGAGUGCCUGCAAGUCUUUGGGACUGUAUUCUCUGUGGUUUACGAGCAAAACAGAUUUAUGCAUGAACUGAAAUACUAAACACUGAUUAGACUCUACUUCUCAUUUUAUCCUUUUUGUUCUCUUUUUGUUCUGAAAUUCUAUCAGUGAACUAAAAUCUUCUUCCAAAACUUUAAACAAAAUAAGUUGAAAAGAGAAGAAUAAGGUGUUUCUCCAUGUAAUUAAGAAAUUCUGCCUUAGAGCAAACCUUUGUAAGUUAAUAAAUGUUCAAAAAACCCAAAAACUUCUUAUACACAAAGAACUAAAAUUGUCUUAAAAUCAUAGCUGCCUAUCCUAAUGUGAAGCAUUCCAAUACAAACUGAAUGACCUAUUUACUUUAGUUUUGUUACUUGCAGAGUAAUCAAGGCAAAAACAACUAUUCUCUUUUUUUUUUUUGAGAUGGAGUCUAGCUCUGUUACCCAGGCAGGAGUGCAGUGGUGCGAUCUCAGCUCACUGCAACCUCCGCCUCCCAGGUUCAAGCGAUUCUCCUGCCUUAGCCUCCUGAGUAGCUGGACUACAGGUGUGUGCCACCACACCUGGCUAAUCUUUGUAUUUUUAGGAGAGGUGGGGUUUCACCAUGUUGGCCAGGCUGGUCUCCAGCUCCUGAGCUCAAGUGAUCUGCCCACCUCAGCCUCUCAAAGUGCUGGGAUUACAGGUGUGAGCCACCACACCUGGCCUAAAGCAACUGUUCUUAAUGCUUGAAGAUACGUUCUUAUUCUUCGAUACUUUAUCAUUUAAAUCAGGAAAUAAGAAACAGCAAAAUAGCUAAGAAGCAUCACGAGGCCUAAAUCAACACUAAUAAAAUGAAGUCAGACAAUAAUCAAAUACUAAUAAAGUAUAAGAAGUGAGUGGUAUGUUCUGACUAAAUAAAAAAAUUACUUAGAAAAUGGCAAUCCAAUAACAAACCUAUGAAAACAUUUCUAAAAUUUCAUGACUGGUAGUCAGACAAGUGUUCUAAAAGUAAAAAUAAUAGGUGUAAUUAAAGGAGUGAAAAAGAAGGGUGUCAUUUAAUAUAAUCCAUUCAUCUGAUUAGUCUUGUUUUAAUCUAUCUAUGCUUAGGACACGUUUCCUAAAUCACAUAAAUACAUUUUCAUUUUGAACAGUUAAGAGUCUCUGACGUUAUCAGGAGGCCGGGCACAGUGGCUCAUGCCUGUAAUCCCAGCACUUUGGGAGGCCGAGGCAGGCGGAUCACCUGAGGUCAGGAGUUCAAGACCAGCCUGACCAACAUGGAGAAACCCUGUCUUUACUAAAAAUACAAAAUCAGCCAGGCAUGGUGGUGCAUGCCUGUAAUCCCAGCUACUCGGGAGGCUGAGGCAGGAGAAUCGCUUGAACCUGGGAGGCAGAGGUUGUGGUGAGUUGAGAUCGCGCCAUUGCACUCCAGUCUGGGCAACAAGAGUGAAACUCUGCCUCAAAAAAAAAAAAAAGAGUCUCUGACAUUGUCAUGAAUUCUCUUUAUUCCAACCCACAAGGGCUCUACACUAAGUACAUCAUAAUGGUUAAGAAAUACAGCCUGGGCAACAUCGUGAGCCUCUAUCUCUACAAAAAAUAAAAAUAAAAAAAAUUUUAGCCAGACACAGUAGUGCACAUCUGUAGUCCCAGCUACAUGGGAGGCUGAGGCGAGACGAUUGCUUGGGCCCAGUUCAAAAGCUGCAGUGAGCUGACAGCACCACUGCACUCUAGCCCAGGUGACAGAGCAAGACAGAAGCAAAAGAAUAGAAAGGAAAAGAGA